UGAGUAUGUCUGGGAACUGCCUGAUGGAGGGGGAUAACUACUGGAAACGGUAGCUAAUACCGCAUAACGUCGCAAGACCAAAGAGGGGGACCUUCGGGCCUCUUGCCAUCGGAUGUGCCCAGAUGGGAUUAGCUAGUAGGUGGRGUAACGGCUCACCUAGGCGACGAUCCCUAGCUGGUCUGAGAGGAUGACCAGCCACACUGGAACUGAGACACGGUCCAGACUCCUACGGGAGGCAGCAGUGGGGAAUAUUGCACAAUGGGCGCAAGCCUGAUGCAGCCAUGCCGCGUGUAUGAAGAAGGCCUUCGGGUUGUAAAGUACUUUCAGCGGGGAGGAAGGGAGUAAAGUUAAUACCUUUGCUCAUUGACGUUACCCGCAGAAGAAGCACCGGCUAACUCCGUGCCAGCAGCCGCGGUAAUACGGAGGGUGCAAGCGUUAAUCGGAAUUACUGGGCGUAAAGCGCACGCAGGCGGUUUGUUAAGUCAGAUGUGAAA
This 494-nucleotide ribosomal RNA is filed under the name Escherichia coli. RNAcentral describes it as "bacterial SSU rRNA". It matches the Rfam family "Bacterial small subunit ribosomal RNA", at positions 107 to 599 of the family's 1533-position model. Lineage: Bacteria; Pseudomonadati; Pseudomonadota; Gammaproteobacteria; Enterobacterales; Enterobacteriaceae. The record is from RNAcentral.